Molecule: long non-coding RNA, 2421 nt
Filed under: Capsicum annuum
Lineage: Eukaryota; Viridiplantae; Streptophyta; Magnoliopsida; Solanales; Solanaceae
Description: long non-coding RNA (CANN_LNC018506)
Source: RNAcentral
AAAGAUCCUAUUUUGGCGGAGAAAUUUGAUCGGUUUCUGUUGGAGUCAUAUAUUGAUGAUAACAAAAGGGUUAAAUGGUGUCCUAGUGUUCCUCAUUGUGGAAAUGCAAUUCGUAUAGAGGAUGAUGAAUACUGCUGUGAGGUUGAAUGUGCAUGUGGUGUACAGUUCUGUUUUAAUUGUUUAUCAGAGGCACACUCACCUUGUUCAUGUAUGAUGUGGAGACUAUGGAUGACAAAGUGCAAGAACGAUGGGAAGACUGUAAUGUGGAUAAAUGAAAAUGCCAAACACUGCCCAAGAUGUCAUCAUGCUGUGGAGAAGAAUGGGUGAUGCAACCUUGUAAGAUGUAGCCCCUCUUUGCGGGAUUAUAAUGAGUAUGUUAUUGUUGUUGCUUGUUCUGGUUGGAAUCAGAAAUCCUUCAAAUGGUGGUUGGUGUACUAUGUAAAUUAUGGGUUCAUAUCUACUAUUUGUUGCAAUUUCCUCAAUUUAUGCUCUAUGCUAAAAGUACUUAGUUUAGAUGAGCCCGAUGUCACUAUACUGCAUCCGCCUCUAGUAAAUGGUGGUCAGUUGAACAUUGUGUAAAUAGGUGGGAGAAGUUCUCUUUUAUACAUAUGUAUAGAAUCUUGACAGCCUUACUGAAUUUUUUUCUGGCUUUGCUGCACAACAGGAUCAAGGACGCAAGUCCUGCAGCUCUGUGCGUGUGUGUGUUUGUGUUGAAAGGAUUUAACAAAAAAAUGUACUAGUCUUACACAUUUCCUAUGAUUAAAGAUGGGAAAAGCUUCCAAGUGGUGUUUUAUUUGACAAAAAAGAAAGAUCGUUAAUGAUCCUAAAUUCUAUGAUAUUAUGUUGGAAAUUUUGUAAUGAAAUUAGCUUCUGGCCGGCAUGCAGGGCUAGCUUUUUAAAUUUUCAGCCACAUCCAAACAUUUUCUACUCUCAAAAGCUAAAGAAGUUAGUCUUUUGAAGCAAUGAAUACUGUGUGCAAAAUGUGAAUGCAUGAAGCACCGGACAGGAUAUAUAGGAAGCAAAAUCAACCUAAAUUGUGAAGUUGUCUGUAGUUUUCUUUUUUAUGAUUUAUAUGAAUUUCUUCAAUUCUUCAUGCAUACUUUUGACUUUUACAGGUAAUCAGGAAAGAGUCCCUUUUAGCUGCACAAGUGAGCAAUUUUUUCCCAAAGUUUCGACUUAUCCAUGUGGAUAAAUGUUAAUUAAUGACUGACAUGUGAAGCAUUGUUAUUAAAAUUGCAGAAAGAAGACUUGCAAAGAGUGAUGGACUUGCUAUCUCUAAAGGAACAUCAUGCACGGAGCUUGCUUAUUCAUUACCGAUGGGAAGCUGACAAGGUCUUUGCUGUUUUUGUUGAGAGAGGGAGUGAAAAGUUAUAUGCUGAAGCAGGUGUGACACUGGAAGGAAAAGAUGAACUUACUCCCACUCUGUCGACAGCUGAAUUGACAUGUCAAAUUUGCUUCGAAGAUGUUCCUGUUGAGCAGACUACUGUAAUGGACUGCAACCAUAGAUUUUGCAAUGAUUGUGAGCAUCUUCCAUCCCUUCCCCGAGCCUCUAUCUCUGUAUGAGUAUACCAGUGUUUCUCUUAUCUCUUAUCGCCAUUAGUCAUUAUAAUAGCGAACAUCACUUUUGAAACAUGGUCUGGAAUAUGCUGUCCCAACAUUUGAUGUUUCUGUUUGUGUGCCUCACAUAAUUGGGUAAGCUGUUGGUGGUCCUUUUCAUAACUACCUAACUUCAAAAGAGCUGAUGAUUUAACUGCAUCUUAAUGGCAUCAAUAACAUUAGAAUCUGUUUCUGUUGCAGGCCUAUGGCUUCGUUGAUUUUCUUUAAUGUGAAAGUGAUUAGCGCAUCUUGAAAAGUUUAAGAGCUAGAUUCACUUAUUGCAUUUUUUUAUUUGCUUUCACUUUGCUCGUCACUCGAACAAAUAAUGGGGCAUCUUAAAAGUUGCCUAUAAUUGUUUUAUGUAGGUUGGACAACUCAUUUCAGUAUAAAUAUAAAGAGUAAACGAGUAACAUGCAUGGCCCAAAAGUGCAAUGUAAUCUGCGAUGAAGGGAAGAUUAGGGAUCUCGUCACUGCAAAAGAUCCUAUUUUGGCGGAGAAAUUUGAUCGGUUUCUGUUGGAGUCAUAUAUUGAUGAUAACAAAAGGGUUAAAUGGUGUCCUAGUGUUCCUCAUUGUGGAAAUGCAAUUCGUAUAGAGGAUGAUGAAUACUGCUGUGAGGUUGAAUGUGCAUGUGGUGUACAGUUCUGUUUUAAUUGUUUAUCAGAGGCACACUCACCUUGUUCAUGUAUGAUGUGGAGACUAUGGAUGACAAAGUGCAAGAACGAUGGGAAGACUGUAAUGUGGAUAAAUGAAAAUGCCAAACACUGCCCAAGAUGUCAUCAUGCUGUGGAGAAGAAUGGGGGAUGCAACCUUGUAAGAUGUAGAUG